Molecule: long non-coding RNA, 2585 nt
Organism: Hydra vulgaris (swiftwater hydra)
Lineage: Eukaryota; Metazoa; Cnidaria; Hydrozoa; Anthoathecata; Hydridae
Source: RefSeq, a predicted model, not a curated record
ACAAUAUUUUAUUAUUAAUAAAAGUUAACAAUCUCAAUCAAUAUAUUUUUUUAUAAAAGGUCUUACAAUUAAAGUUAUUUACAAAUAGUUAAAAACUAAUCUUAAGUAAAUACUAUGAAAUAUUGAAUAUUUCAGGAUGGGCUUGCCUCCUAAUAAAUACUAAAAUAUUCUUAUUUUUGAAAAACUUUCUAAAAAGACCUAAAUUAUCCUAUAAUAUACUUGAAUUUCAAAAAUACUUCCAGAAAAGCUCCUAGUUUAAGCUUGUUUUUUGAACUUUAAGUUUUUUUUGCAACAUUCAACUUAGAAUUUCAAAUAUUUUUUUUUUAAAUUUUUGAAUAAUAUUUAAAUUUUGUUAAAAAAAUUUUCAAAUCCUCCUAAAUAAUAAUAAUUUUUGUAUUCACUUUUCUAAGGUUUCCGAUAAAAUCUCCCAAAAAGCUUUUAAAAUCUCCUAAAUUCUUUUAAUUUUUCAACUUAAAAAAAAAUGUGGCCACCUUUUUUUAAAAUAAUAAAUUUUAAAUAAUAAAUAUAAUAAUAAUAAAUUAACAAUUAUCACAAAAGUAAGAAAAUUACUUACUAAUAAACAAAUAUUUAUCUCAAAACAACAGCUGGAUAACUAUGCACAGACAGGCAAGUUAUAGUUUUGAUUACAUAUGAUAGUAUUUAGUUUUAUGUUAACCUUUAAAGUAAAUUAAGUAUUAAGAUAAAUAAUAUUUUUUAAUUUUGAUUCUUGCAUCUACAUUGAUUUCAUUUUUUUUUCUGCCAUCUACAUUUUUUUAACAUUUUUAAAACAGUAAUUGUAAUCAGUUUACAAUUACUGGUUUGUUUAUUCAUUCUCUUGUUAUUAUUUGGAUUGUUUUAUUUUUAUUUGUGCAUCUUUUUGAUCUUUUAUAUGUCUACAGUUUUAAUUUCAUAAUCAUGAUCUUGAGAUUUGACAGUUCUGAUAAAGCAGCAGAGGAAUGGAUGGAAAAAUUUGGAGCUGCAAACAACAUGAAAUUUAUUAUUCAACAAAAUCUACAACUCAAGAGGUGAGUUAUUUUCUGUUAGCAUAAUUUCAAGUAAUCAGUUAUAUUCAAAUGCGUUACAAAAAAUAGUCUAGGUAGUCUAAUUAUUCCUUUUUUUUAAAUAGUUCAAGCAUUUGUUUAAAUAUAUGUAGAAAUAAAUUAAAAAGGUCAUAAAACACUUUUGUGUGGCCAAGUCCACAUUAAUAUUUGAAUAAAAGUGCCCUAAAAUUUUUUAAUAAUACAUAAAACUUUUAGGUGGUUAAUGAUUUUUUUAUAGCAUUUUAAAGUCCUUAUAAUAUACUUAAUGUGAAUUUUGAUUUUCAAAUAAAUAAAUAUACAUAAUAUUUUUUAUAUUAUAUUCAGUUUCAUAAGAUAAUAACAUAUAACAUAUAACAUAAUAACAUAAUAACAAAAGCAAAUCAAAUGAAAAAAGUUAUCGUAAUACUGUCUAUUAAAAGUGGAUGUUAAAGUUUAAAAAGUGAACAGCGCAACUAAUAAAAAUGACACAUUUUCAUGCAGAGAAGAACCUCUUGCGUGUAUUGUUAAAAUUUUUAAAAUGCACAAUCACAGCAUUAAUUCUGCUGAUGCACUAUGUUUUCUUCAAAGCAACAAUGGAUUACAGGAAACUUUUAACAAAUAUUUCUCAAUUGAUACGGCACCAGGUAAAUCAUGAAAUUCAUUGAAAAAAAAAUUUCAAUUACAUAUGGUAUAACUAGUAAGUGAAUGGCAGCAGAUGCUAGAGAAAAUCCUACACUAAAUCAAGUUUAUUAUUGGCAUCACAAGUAUACUGCAGAACAUUUUGGCACAGUCACAGAUCCUAUUGGUAAACUGAUAUCUUUUAUUGAUACACAAUUUUACUAAAAACAAGGGACAUGAAGUUCAUAUCAAAAUUGAAGGUGACUUUAGGGCAGUUGUUAUAGCAACACCAAUAAUGCGUCGUGCUCAGAAAAUGGAAACUUCUAGAAAAAUAGUUUUUAUUGAUUCUACAAGUAGCGUUGAUUCUACAUGCUCCACAACAACAGUUAUCCUUAAACCAACAUCACCUGGUGCAGAUCCAUUAAGUGUUUUGAUACAUAAUUGCAGGCCUCUGCGGAAUUAAAUGAGUGCGGGAGCGGAGAAAAGCUCUCAUAAAAUAAACAUAGCGAGCCAUGCGAGCUGCUCCUCUAGACAGCUUUUUACAAGAGUUUUCGGUUAUUGGGCGAGCUCUGCUUAUUUAUUAAAUAAAUUGCUUAUUAAAUACAAAAUUUAGUUUUACUCUUGUUACAAGCAUUUGCUUGUAACGUUAAUGUUAACAGAAUAUAAGCAAAACAAGCGUAACUCAAUUUAGGGGAGUAUGGGCGAGAGCGAAAGCUAAAGCUCUCGCUUUCCGCCGAGGCUUGUAAUGGAUUAUGUACAGUUUCCUAUAUUCUUUCAUUUAGUCUACUUUAACAAAACAUGCUGGAUUAUUUGGAGUACAAUCGGUAGAACAUUAAACAGUAUUAUAUAAGCAUUAAUUGUUUUACAAUUAUCAAUAUUUUAAAGUCUAGAGGGUUAUAUAAAAUUACAAUGAAAUGUUAUAGCUUAUUACUUUCUUUUAUUAGUAAA